CGUCUAUAUACGUAUAGCAUAUCAAUAAGCGGAGGAAAAGAAACUAACUAGGAUUCCCUCAGUAACGGCGAGUGAAGCGGGAAGAGCUCAAAUUUGAAAUCUUCAAGGUUCUACCUUGACGAAUUGUAGUUUAAAGAAGUGUUUUCUGUUGGAGUUUUGGUAAAAGUUCUUUGGAAUAGGACAUCAUAGAGGGUGAGAAUCCCGUAUUUGACCAUUAUUCCCAACUUUGUGAUACACUUUCAAAGAGUCGGAUUGUUUGGGAAUGCAGUCCAAAAUGGGUGGUAAAUUUCAUCUAAAGCUAAAUACUGGCGAGAGACCGAUAGCGAACAAGUACCGUGAGGGAAAGAUGAAAAGAGCUUUGAAAAGAGAGUUAAACAGUACGUGAAAUUGUCAAAAGGGAAGCGUUUGACACCAGUGUUGUUUUCUCGAAAAUCAAUUAAAAAUGGUGGGAUUUUGUGUUGUAUUGACUUUAUCAGCUUUCUGCACUUUUUUCCUAUCUUUUUUAAUGCACUUUUCGUUUAACAAGUCAACAUCAAUUUCUUUUGUUGUAAAAGGGUCAUUGGAAGGUGGCUUUCUUUUCGGAGAAAGGUGUUUAUAGCCUUGUGCCUCUGCAGUCGGAGAGAUUGAGGUCUGCAGCGUAGAUCCUUCGGGGUUAGAUACAUUUGUGCUAAGUUAUAGCUUUUCAUAGACAACUUGUUGACUAUGUUUAGUCUUGUAGCUUACUCGCUUACUGCUAUUUUACCUACGCUUAGGAUGUUGACGCGCGUGUGUGCGUG
RNAcentral lists this ribosomal RNA (776 nucleotides) under uncultured Neocallimastigales. Its description in RNAcentral is "partial large subunit ribosomal RNA". It matches the Rfam family "Eukaryotic large subunit ribosomal RNA", at positions 26 to 625 of the family's 3401-position model. Lineage: Eukaryota; Fungi; Neocallimastigomycota; Neocallimastigomycetes; Neocallimastigales. The record is from RNAcentral.